This 468-nucleotide ribosomal RNA is filed under the name uncultured bacterium. RNAcentral's name for it is "partial 16S ribosomal RNA". It matches the Rfam family "Bacterial small subunit ribosomal RNA", at positions 28 to 507 of the family's 1533-position model. The record is from RNAcentral.
GACGAACGCUGGCGGCGUGCUUAACACAUGCAAGUCGAACGGAAAGGCCCUGCUUUUGUGGGGUGCUCGAGUGGCGAACGGGUGAGUAACACGUGAGUAACCUGCCCUUGACUUUGGGAUAACUUCAGGAAACUGGGGCUAAUACCGGAUAGGAGCUCCUGCUGCAUGGGGGGGGUUGGAAAGUUUCGGCGGUUGGGGAUGGACUCGCGGCUUAUCAGCUUGUUGGUGGGGUAGUGGCUUACCAAGGCUUCGACGGGUAGCCGGCCUGAGAGGGUGACCGGGCACAUUGGGACUGAGAUACGGCCCAGACUCCUACGGGAGGCAGCAGUGGGGAAUAUUGCACAAUGGGCGGAAGCCUGAUGCAGCAACGCCGCGUGCGGGAUGACGGCCUUCGGGUUGUAAACCGCUUUCGCCUGUGACGAAGCGUGAGUGACGGUAAUGGGUAAAGAAGCACCGGCUAACUACGUG